GCCGGCAUCUAGCUCUCUGCAGCUCUCACAUGGUCGCCAACUGAAGCUAAGCAGGGCUGCACCCAGUCAGUACCUGGAUUGGAGAACACAUGGGAACGCUAUAGGUUGCUGCUGGAA
RNAcentral lists this ribosomal RNA (117 nucleotides) under Danio rerio (zebrafish). The record is from RNAcentral. Lineage: Eukaryota; Metazoa; Chordata; Actinopteri; Cypriniformes; Danionidae.